GUACCGCAAACCGACACAGGUGGGUGAGGAGAGUAUCCUAAGGCCAGCGAGAGAACUGUUGUUAAGGAACUCGGCAAAAUGACCCCGUAACUUAGGGAUAAGGGGUGCCACCAUCAGGUGGCCGCAGCGAAUAGGCCCAAGCGACUGUUUACCAAAAACAUAGGUUUCUGCUAAGUCGCAAGACGAUGUAUAGGAGCUGACGCCUGCCCGGUGCUGGAAGGUUAAGGGGAUCUGUUAGAGCAAUCGAAGCAGUGA
RNAcentral lists this ribosomal RNA (255 nucleotides) under Clostridioides difficile. Its description in RNAcentral is "partial 23S ribosomal RNA". It matches the Rfam family "Bacterial large subunit ribosomal RNA", at positions 1644 to 1910 of the family's 2925-position model. The record is from RNAcentral. Lineage: Bacteria; Bacillati; Bacillota; Clostridia; Peptostreptococcales; Peptostreptococcaceae.